AACAUCAUGCAUGUUCAUAAUGCCAAGUAGCCUGACGUUACUUGACGGCGACUUGUAUUUUGAUUGCUUCUUAAGUUCUAAUAAAGGUGAAAUGGCUGAAUUUACUCCAAACGAAGAUAUAUUUGACGAUGUCGUUAUGGCAGAAGAAAGAUUCCAAGAGGAGGGAUACCGAGAAGGCUUUGCCGCCGGCAAGCGGGCCGGAGAGCAAGAGGGCUUCAAGAUGGGGCAAAUCAAGGGCAGGGAGAUAGGGUCCGAGUAUGGCUUCUAUCUGGGCUUUGUGGCCAUGUGGCUAUGGCUUGUCAAGGAAGACGCCGGAUUGGCAAGAGCAAAAACAGUGAAAGCGCUUGAAACACUGCAUGCCAUGCUGGCUUCCUUCAAAGUUGAGGAUGUAACCAGUGAAAGUUACUGGGACGAUUUCAGGCAGAUCAGAGACAAGUUCAAGCAGGUUGUUUCGCUUCUCGGCAUAAAACUGGAUUUCACUGAGGAGAGAAGCCAGAAACCACCGAUUUCAUUUUGAGUAAAGCACGUCAGCAGGUGGCACUUGUGUUGGUGUGCGGGAGACGUUGCGAGGAUGUUAGUCAAAGGAAACUGCCCCAUGCAGCAGGAGUGGUGCUGCAGGGACUUCUGUAUUCCCAGAGGAAGACAAGGGCAGGAGUGAUGUCCUAGGAGGAAAAGCCUGACCGAGAGGUUGCAGGUAACUGCAGUGCUUUGAGGCUGCUCAAGAUGUGACAAAGUCCAGGGUUGUUUACUGCUGGCCGCAUGAUUAAAAUGCUAGAAAAUGGGACUUACGAGGAACCUGAGUUGAUGACUGAAGUAGACAUGAUUCUGUGAAUCACCCCUCCACAGCUUUAUAAUCUACCUUACCUUUUAGUGGCAAGGGGUGUAUGAAAUGAUGCAUCAUGACGUGCCGUGAUCUUAGCAUAUGCACAUGACAACUGGGAUGCGAUAAUUAUAGCAUGAAGAUCUGUAUCAUGAUACCUUGCUCAGAAUAGAUUCAGGCAAAAGUCUUACUUUUUCAGGCUGUAGAAUUUCCGUUUGUGUAUAACGUGUUCUCUUGCGAGCAGGAAAAGUGGUGGAAAAAAUGCUCUACGGUUGCCAUUGUAAAUGAUUGGCUUCAACAAUAUUCGAGACGUUCGAAACGUACCCCAGUUAUUCUAGGGUCAGAAAGCUGGUGAUAGGGUAAGAAUCAAAUCUUUGCCUCGCUGCUUGUUCUGACGACGUUUCCAGAGAUAAUUUUAUCGAACGUGUUUAGACUUGCUUUGAUCCCUUGAAAUCACAGCGCAUUUAUUGCACAUCAGGUCCAUCAACUGGUUGAAAUUUUCCGGGGGGGGGCAUGAGAAUAGUCUCCCUGAAACUGCUCCGCUGUGAAAGAGCAGCCGUAAGGCUUAAUGGAACAUAGAAUGUAAUGGGAUUAGAAUCAGAAGUUGAAGAAAAGGGAAAGCCUGGGGAUUUGUGUUUGGAGUUGGAAUCUAUUAAUGGUAUGAUGGCCAGUGUGGAUAAUUGUUCAUUUUGUUGUUGGCUGCCAGCAAGAUUUAUGUAUUGACCAUGGUCAGCGGUAUAAAUUUGUGCUGGAAACUGGGGGGGGGGAUGUGGGAUGGGGAAAGGCACGGGGUGACAUUAAAAUUUGAAAAGGGGGGACACUAUAUGACUGUAUAUAGAGGUUGAUAAUCAUGAUUUUAUUUUACAUCUGUAAUAUGUAUUCAACGGGCAUAUUUAUGGCUUUUUAAACUUAUUUUCCCCUUGUCGAGUGAUAUUGAAUGGGUUUGCGUUGUUUGAAGUCUGAAAAAUUCUUCACAACCCAACCAACUUAAUUUUUUGGCUCACCACAAAAAAGUGGGGUAUGAUUCAAUAGC
This 1853-nucleotide unclassified non-coding RNA is filed under the name Acanthaster planci (crown-of-thorns starfish). RNAcentral describes it as "oral cancer-overexpressed protein 1 homolog, transcript variant X2". The record is from RNAcentral. Lineage: Eukaryota; Metazoa; Echinodermata; Asteroidea; Valvatida; Acanthasteridae.